CCUACGGGUGGCUGCAGUGGGGAAUAUUGGACAAUGGGCGAAAGCCUGAUCCAGCCAUGCCGCGUGUGUGAAGAAGGCCUUCGGGUUGUAAAGCACUUUCAGUGGGGAAGAAAGCCUUGGGGCUAAUACCCUCGAGGAAGGACAUCACCCACAGAAGAAGCACCGGCUAACUCCGUGCCAGCAGCCGCGGUAAUACGGAGGGUGCGAGCGUUAAUCGGAAUUACUGGGCGUAAAGCGCGCGUAGGCGGUCUGAUAAGCCGGUUGUGAAAGCCCCGGGCUCAACCUGGAACGGCAUCCGGAACUGUCAGGCUAGAGGGCAGGAGAGGAAGGUAGAAUUGCCGGUGUAGCGGUGAAAUGCGUAGAGAUCGGGAGGAAUACCAGUGGCGAAGGCGGCCUUCUGGACUGACACUGACGCUGAGGUGCGAAAGCGUGGGUAGCAAACAGGAUUAGAUACCCGGUAGUC
Molecule: ribosomal RNA, 463 nt
Filed under: Vreelandella stevensii
Lineage: Bacteria; Pseudomonadati; Pseudomonadota; Gammaproteobacteria; Oceanospirillales; Halomonadaceae
Description: partial 16S ribosomal RNA
Rfam family: Bacterial small subunit ribosomal RNA
Source: RNAcentral